AUGGAGGGAUGCCAAAUAAAGCGCUCCAUCUGCAAGCCACUUGCAGCACACAUCUACAACAAACUAGACACAGGAACCAUGAAAAUAACGUUUGGUGAAGUUGAUCGGCAGAAAGAAAUCAUAAUAACAAAGGAAGGCAUCCACAAGGUGUUUGGAUACCCAAACGGUACAGAAAGGACAGCACCAAGGCCAAAGAUUUCCACUGAAACAAUGAGCGAACUGGUCAGAGAACUUGGCCUCAAGAAAAUGGAUUUCCAUCACAAUGAUUUGUUUAAAGAACUAGAAAAAUUGGUGAAACAAGAUGACGAACAAUCAAAUAGGAAAUCAAUUAAAAAAAUAUUCCUUAUUUUUUUCAACAACAUUGUCUGUGGAACAACCUCCCCUACCUUUAGCAAACAAGCCAUUAUUGACAAGGACUUGGACUAUACAAAAAUGGCAAAGAUGGAUUUCUGCCAGGUAAUCGUCGAAAGUAUUAGGGAAGGAGCCAAGAUAUGA
RNAcentral lists this ribosomal RNA (495 nucleotides) under Triticum aestivum (bread wheat). RNAcentral's name for it is "partial small subunit ribosomal RNA". Lineage: Eukaryota; Viridiplantae; Streptophyta; Magnoliopsida; Poales; Poaceae. The record is from RNAcentral.